This 215-nucleotide ribosomal RNA is filed under the name uncultured bacterium. RNAcentral describes it as "partial 16S ribosomal RNA". It matches the Rfam family "Bacterial small subunit ribosomal RNA", at positions 117 to 331 of the family's 1533-position model. The record is from RNAcentral.
AUAAACAACGUGCCCUGAAGACUGGGAUAUACGGUCGAAAGGCCGAGCAAUACCGGAUGUGGCCGAGACUAGGCAUCUAGACUCGAUUAAAUGGUUUUUCGCUUCAGGAGCGGUUUAUGACUCAUCAGCUAGUUGGUAGGGUAAUGGCCUACCAAGGCUACGAUGGGUAGGGGGUCUGAGAGGAUGGUCCCCCCGAGUGGGACUGAGACACGGCC